UACAGAGGUCCCAAGCGUUGUUCGGAUUCACUGGGCGUAAAGGGUGCGCAGGUGGGUUUGCAAGUUCGAUGUGAAAGCCCCGGGCUUAACCCGGGAAUGGCAUUGGAUACUGCAGAUCUGGAGGAUCGGAGGGGGGACUGGAAUUCUUGGUGUAGCAGUGAAAUGCGUAGAUAUCAAGAGGAACACCAGUGGCGAAGGCGAGUCCCUGGACGAUACCUGACACUGAGGCACGAAAGCCAGGGGAGCAAACGGG
This 253-nucleotide ribosomal RNA is filed under the name uncultured bacterium. RNAcentral describes it as "partial 16S ribosomal RNA". It matches the Rfam family "Bacterial small subunit ribosomal RNA", at positions 524 to 776 of the family's 1533-position model. The record is from RNAcentral.